CCCGCCACUGUGCUUGUCUGUAAAAUAGACUGUGUACUGCCAAGGGAAGGCUUAUAGUGACCCAGCUCUAGGAAACAGGGCCGACCAACUUAAUGGCUGACUCUGUGCCGAAAGGACUGGAACAAGU
This is a small nucleolar RNA of Carassius auratus (goldfish), 127 nucleotides long. Ensembl annotates it as small nucleolar RNA SNORA65. NCBI's taxonomy places the organism in Eukaryota, Metazoa, Chordata, Actinopteri, Cypriniformes, Cyprinidae. The record is from Ensembl.